UCCGACUCAGACUUCAUAUAAACAUCUGCAAGACAGUCUCUCCAGCCUCCAGCUAACUGUCGUACUGAAGUCUGGGACACUGACAGCUCUCACAGUCCAGCAUCUAUAGAAUUAAACCUUUUUAGCAAUUUACAGGACAAACGCGGACAUACUAUCAGUACAAGAAAGGAAGAUACAAGAGAUGAGAAUUUUAAAGAUCACAAUCGUCAUUUUCAUAAUAGUGACGACAUCUUCAAAACCAGUCCGCCGUUUUAAAUACCAUUUUGUGAACACGAGAGAUGAGA
Long non-coding RNA from Anguilla rostrata (American eel), 284 nucleotides. RefSeq lists it as uncharacterized. NCBI's taxonomy places the organism in Eukaryota, Metazoa, Chordata, Actinopteri, Anguilliformes, Anguillidae. The transcript has 3 exons. The record is from RefSeq and is a predicted model, not a curated record.